AACCCAUGGUGAGGGCACCUUUGAAAUAGAUCCUUGUAUCUCUCCCAUGCAUCAUAAAGUCUUUCUAAGUCCAUCUGCACAAAAGAAGAGAUAUCAUUACAUAACUU
Gossypium arboreum is the source of this 107-nucleotide non-coding RNA. NCBI's taxonomy places the organism in Eukaryota, Viridiplantae, Streptophyta, Magnoliopsida, Malvales, Malvaceae. The record is from Rfam.